UGACCGCGGGGCGACGUGAGCGGGUUGGGUCAUUCCGUUACGGUUUGGCCAGGCCCAGGAAAGUCCCCGGGCCGCUACUGCAGAGAUGCAGGCUCGGAAACGAGUUCGCUUCACGGGCUGGGUUCUAUCUCCUUGCGGGAUGGGCUGAGACGAGUGUGGAGCCUAAUGGACUCUAGCCGGAAGCGCCUUGGCCAGUAGACAGUUAUUCACGUGGUCCAUCUGGACUAACUGAACGGGGCUUACGACCCUGCGGUC
This 255-nucleotide RNase MRP RNA is filed under the name Ipomoea nil (Japanese morning glory). RNAcentral's name for it is "RNase MRP". It matches the Rfam family "RNase MRP". From Rfam's summary of the family: RNase MRP is an enzymatically active ribonucleoprotein with two distinct roles in eukaryotes. The record is from Rfam by way of RNAcentral. Lineage: Eukaryota; Viridiplantae; Streptophyta; Magnoliopsida; Solanales; Convolvulaceae.